AGUAACACGUGGAUAACCUACCUAUAAGACUGGGAUAACUUCGGGAAACCGGAGCUAAUACCGGAUAAUAUUUUGAACAGCAUGGUUCAAAAGUGAAAGACGGUCUUGCUGUCACUUAUAGAUGGAUCCGCGCUGCAUUAGCUAGUUGGUAAGGUAACGGCUUACCAAGGCAACGAUGCAUAGCCGACCUGAGAGGGUGAUCGGCCACACUGGAACUGAGACACGGUCCAG
This 231-nucleotide ribosomal RNA is filed under the name uncultured Staphylococcus sp. RNAcentral's name for it is "partial 16S ribosomal RNA". It matches the Rfam family "Bacterial small subunit ribosomal RNA", at positions 109 to 334 of the family's 1533-position model. The record is from RNAcentral. Lineage: Bacteria; Bacillati; Bacillota; Bacilli; Caryophanales; Staphylococcaceae.